This is a long non-coding RNA of Planococcus citri (citrus mealybug), 623 nucleotides long. RefSeq lists it as uncharacterized. The transcript has 2 exons. The record is from RefSeq and is a predicted model, not a curated record. NCBI's taxonomy places the organism in Eukaryota, Metazoa, Arthropoda, Insecta, Hemiptera, Pseudococcidae.
GCUAUAUCUAUAGACCUACCCAUCUAUCUAUCUACCUAUCUACCUAUCCAUCCAGUCCAUCCAUCCAUUCAUCCAUCUAUUUAUCCAAACGACUGGCAUUGACAUUGAUAGAAUUAUACAUACAUUCAUUCGGCAACUUGGGCUCCUAUCAAAAUGUAUCUCUUGUUUGGUUCAACUUUUACGAUUCUCAUUCUGUUUGUGACUUCCUCAUUCGGUGUGGCUAUUCCUGCUACUUCAACCACCUCUACAUCAAAUUCUGUGGUAACAAGUUCCUCUCAACCGAGUCCAUCAUAUUACGCUGCAAUCUGGAAUAAACUGUAUCAGUAUCGUGAUCACCCAAUUGUCUCUACAAUGGCUAACCAUGCCAUCGUGAACACAGUGAAAAAUUAUAUGUCGAGUAAACCAACAACAGCAGCAGCAGCAGCGGGCAAAAAAGAAGAAAACUCGCCACUAAAUCAUCCCAUGGUUCAGAGUUUGUUCACAAACAUGUUCUUCAAUGCGCUCAAGCCCAAAAAAUGAUCACUAUGUUACUCUUUGUGCUAUCUAAAUAAGUCCAUAGUAUGAAUAGCAGGUAUCCAUUAUUUGAAAUGCUUACUCCAUAAGAAAAUAUAUAUGCAAUUUCA